RNAcentral lists this ribosomal RNA (484 nucleotides) under uncultured bacterium. RNAcentral describes it as "partial 16S ribosomal RNA". It matches the Rfam family "Bacterial small subunit ribosomal RNA", at positions 30 to 507 of the family's 1533-position model. The record is from RNAcentral.
AUUGAACGCUGGCGGCAGGCCUAACACAUGCAAGUCGAGCGGAUGAAGGGAGCUUGCUCCUGGAUUCAGCGGCGGACGGGUGAGUAAUGCCUAGGAAUCUGCCUGGUAGUGGGGGAUAACGUCCGGAAACGGGCGCUAAUACCGCAUACGUCCUGAGGGAGAAAGUGGGGGAUCUUCGGACCUCACGCUAUCAGAUGAGCCUAGGUCGGAUUAGCUAGUUGGUGGGGUAAAGGCCUACCAAGGCGACGAUCCGUAACUGGUCUGAGAGGAUGAUCAGUCACACUGGAACGGAGACACGGUCCAUGCGCCUACGGGAGGCAGCAGUGGGGAAUAUUGGACAAUGGGCGAAAGCCUGAUCCAGCCAUGCCGCGUGUGUGAAGAAGGUCUUCGGAUUGUAAAGCACUUUAAGUUGGGAGGAAGGGCAGUAAGUUAAUACCUUGCUGUUUUGACGUUACCAACAGAAUAAGCACCGGCUAACUUCGUG